AAGACAUUUCUCUGGGCCUUCUCCCUGAAAUGGCACCCUAAAUCUCAAACACAAAUCAGGACUUCAAGUUCCCCGAGAAACGUCUGGUAGCAUCUGUCAAUAAUCUUGAUCCCUGUGCAUAUAUUACAGACUUGAAAUGAACUUGAUCUGAAGCCCUAAGGCAAUUUAGGGCUCUUCAAAGCCACUGCUAUCUCAGUAUUUCUUAUGUAAGCAUUCAAAUAUUGGAAGUCAAAUUCACUGCUACCUUUCUUGGGUCAAUGUAUCCUGUUCAUCUGGACAGAGGUGAAGAGAUGAUCAGGAGGAGUCAAUCAUGUGUCAAAUCCUCAAGAAGAAAGGAUACUCAGAGCGCUUUGUAUAUUGCCGAGGCCAGAUUUGGAUUCUAGUUUUAAGUGCCAAAAGUCUGCCACUGAAUUUGCUGGAUUUGAUGUAAAGUUAGAGGAGUAAAAUCUGUCCAGGCUGAAGAAAAAGACAAAACAGGAGAAGAGUGUCUUUCAUCAUUGCCACUGUAACACCAUCACGGCGGCCAUCACUGAAUCUGCCUCAUUUUGUUGGUGCUGUGUCCAUGCUGAAUUAAUUUACCUUGGCAGUUUCCUGAUUGUUCCAAUGUCUAUUUGUUUAAAAUGGAAACUGA
This is a long non-coding RNA of Pantherophis guttatus, 631 nucleotides long. RefSeq lists it as uncharacterized. The record is from RefSeq and is a predicted model, not a curated record. NCBI's taxonomy places the organism in Eukaryota, Metazoa, Chordata, Lepidosauria, Squamata, Colubridae.